GACGAACGCUGGCGGCGCGCUUAACACAUGCAAGUCGAGCGCAGCGGCGGACGGGUGAGUAACACGUGAGUAACCUGCAUUAGACAUUGGGCUAGCCUCGGUAAACCGGGAUUAAUACCAAAUGGUCUAAGAUGGACUCGCGUCCCAUUAGAUAGUUGGUGAGGUAACGGCCCGACAAGGCGACGAGGGGUAGCCGGAAUGAGAGGGUGACCGGGAACAUUGGAAGUGAGAAACGGUCCAAACUCCACGGGAGGCAGCAGUGGGGAAUAGUGCACAAUGGGGGGAACGAUGAUGCAGUGAGGCCGCAAGAACGAAGAAGUCUUGCGAGUCGUAAAGUUCUUUUAUAUGGGAAGCGGUACCAUAACAAAAAGCCCCGGCUAACUACGUGCCAGCAGCCGCGGUAAUUC
This 407-nucleotide ribosomal RNA is filed under the name uncultured bacterium. Its description in RNAcentral is "partial 16S ribosomal RNA". It matches the Rfam family "Bacterial small subunit ribosomal RNA", at positions 28 to 526 of the family's 1533-position model. The record is from RNAcentral.